This 394-nucleotide ribosomal RNA is filed under the name uncultured Anaeromyxobacter sp. Its description in RNAcentral is "bacterial SSU rRNA". It matches the Rfam family "Bacterial small subunit ribosomal RNA", at positions 67 to 447 of the family's 1533-position model. Lineage: Bacteria; Pseudomonadati; Myxococcota; Myxococcia; Myxococcales; Anaeromyxobacteraceae. The record is from RNAcentral.
CGAGAAAGCCCGCAAGGGUGAGUACAGCGGCGCACGGGUGCGUAACACGUGGGUAAUCUGCCCUGGAGCCCGGAAUAACCUCCCGAAAGGGAAGCUAAUGCCGGAUGAGCCCACGGGGUCCUUGGACCCUGAGGGAAAAGGUGGCCUCUGCAUGCAAGCUAUCACUUCAGGAUGAGCCCGCGGCCCAUCAGCUCGUUGGCGGGGUAACGGCCCACCAAGGCUACGACGGGUAGCUGGUCUGAGAGGACGAUCAGCCACACUGGAACUGAGACACGGUCCAGACUCCUACGGGAGGCAGCAGUGGGGAAUCUUGCGCAAUGGGCGAAAGCCUGACGCAGCAACGCCGCGUGUGUGAUGAAGGUCUUCGGAUCGUAAAGCACUGUCGCGAGGGACG